RNAcentral lists this ribosomal RNA (483 nucleotides) under uncultured bacterium. RNAcentral describes it as "partial 16S ribosomal RNA". It matches the Rfam family "Bacterial small subunit ribosomal RNA", at positions 29 to 507 of the family's 1533-position model. The record is from RNAcentral.
UUGAACGCUGGCGGCAUGCUUUACACAUGCAAGUCGAACGGCAGCGCGGGCUUCGGCCUGGCGGCGAGUGGCGAACGGGUGAGUAAUGCAUCGGAACGUGCCCAGUAGUGGGGGAUAGCCCGGCGAAAGCCGGAUUAAUACCGCAUACGACCUGAGGGUGAAAGCGGGGGACCGAAAGGCCUCGCGCUAUUGGAGUGGCCGAUGUCGGAUUAGCUAGUUGGUGGGGUAAAGGCUUACCAAGGCGACGAUCCGUAGCUGGUCUGAGAGGACGACCAGCCACACUGGGACUGAGACACGGCCCAGACUCCUACGGGAGGCAGCAGUGGGGAAUUUUGGACAAUGGGGGCAACCCUGAUCCAGCCAUGCCGCGUGCGGGAAGAAGGCCUUCGGGUUGUAAACCGCUUUUGUUCGGGAAGAAAUCCUCUGGGCUAAUACCCCGGGGGGAUGACGGUACCGGAAGAAUAAGCACCGGCUAACUACGUG